AGUGGAAAUAUUAAGAGCAAUACAGAACUUAACGCUGUUAGUGAAGUAUGAAAGACCUGCUAACCUACUUGUACCUGAGGAAACAAGUGCAGAUUCAAUGGAAUGUCCUGUCCUUUGGCAAAUAGCCACUCCUGAGCACUGGAACCUAGAAGCAGUAGAAGCAACACUACGAAAUCCAUCAAACAGUGAUGAACAAUUUAAGAAGAAGUUUGUGAGGAAAGGCUCUUUGAUUAUGUUGACAACGAUAGCAUCAAGUAUACUCAGUGAUCCUGAAGCAUUUGAAGCUGCAGUCAUAUCAUUUCUUACGAAAAUGAUAGAAGACUGUGAUAUCAACACAGAAAUACCUUGUAGAGUUUACGUAACGAUUCAUAUUUUGAAUGCUAAUGAAGUGAACGUCACCUGCAUAGUACCAAACACAUCUACAGAUGAAAAAGCCGUUCAAACU
Mytilus californianus (California mussel) is the source of this 445-nucleotide long non-coding RNA. RefSeq lists it as uncharacterized. The record is from RefSeq and is a predicted model, not a curated record. The transcript is spliced from 3 exons. Lineage: Eukaryota; Metazoa; Mollusca; Bivalvia; Mytilida; Mytilidae.